CGGGGCCGUAGGGGAAGUCGAGAGUUGGCAAGCAAACACUACCAGGACCUACCAGAUAAAAUACGUAUUUUCCUUGUUAUAAAUAAGGGGUGAGAAUGCCACUGCAGUGUUAAAAAAUGCAUGGGCGCACCUGUGGGCACGGACGCUCAGCGGUACCGUCAAGGGAGGCCCCUCAGCCCCGCAGCUGCAGCGGGCACGGGCAGCGGCACGGCUCUCUCUGCUCUCUUACCUGGCAGAACCAAGAGGCAGCUUUGCUCUGCCCCUGGGCUGGAGCUGCUCCUCCCCUCAGCAGAGUGCAGGACAGGAGGGUGCUGCUGCAUGUGUGGAAGAAGUGGCAAUCUGCAAUGCUGAGAGGAGCACGAGCUGAAAACAAGGGUUCUGUGGUUUCAUCCUGUAUUGCAACCUUCCAGCUGAAGACCAUCUAAGUCAAAAU
This 433-nucleotide long non-coding RNA is filed under the name Serinus canaria (Common canary). RNAcentral's name for it is "lncRNA (ENSSCAG00000012072.1)". The record is from RNAcentral. Lineage: Eukaryota; Metazoa; Chordata; Aves; Passeriformes; Fringillidae.